GGAGGGCAAGUCUGGUGCCAGCAGCCGCGGUAAUUCCAGCUCCAAUAGCGUAUAUUAAAGUUGUUGCGGUUAAAACGCUCGUAGUUGGAUCUGCGGCCUUGAAGGACGGUCUCCCGAAAGGGUAGUCACUGUCUCUUCUAGCCUAAAUUCGAGUUGUCUCUAUGUGCUCUUUAUUGAGUGCUUAGAGCGACUAGAACGUUUACUUUGAAAAAAUUAGAGUGCUUAAAGCAGGCGAAAUAGCCUGAAUAAGGUGCAUGGAAUAAUGGAAUAGGACCUCGGUUCUAUUUUGUUGGUUUUCGGAGCCUGAGGUAAUGAUUAAGAGGAACAGACGGGGGCAUUCGUAUUUCGGCGCUAGAGGUGAAAUUCUUGGACCGCCGAAAGACGAACGACUGCGAAAGCAUUUGCCAAGAAUGUUUUCAUUAAUCAAGAACGAAAGUUAGAGGUUCGAAGGCGAUCAAAUACCGCCCUAGUUCUGACCGAAAA
Molecule: ribosomal RNA, 483 nt
Filed under: Dorylaimida sp. 4 MK-2017
Lineage: Eukaryota; Metazoa; Nematoda; Enoplea; Dorylaimida
Description: SSU rRNA
Rfam family: Eukaryotic small subunit ribosomal RNA
Source: RNAcentral